Populus euphratica (Euphrates poplar) is the source of this 1905-nucleotide RNA transcript. It is a transcript of the gene named F-box protein At5g46170-like, with no coding region annotated. The record is from RefSeq and is a predicted model, not a curated record. Lineage: Eukaryota; Viridiplantae; Streptophyta; Magnoliopsida; Malpighiales; Salicaceae. The transcript has 3 exons.
UUCUCUCUCUCUCUCUCUCUCUUUCUAAAGACAAAACCGUGGAUCUAUCUCCUCCCUACGUUCCAUUAUUUUUGGUCGUUGGUGUACCUGUUGUCAUUCAUCUCUUCAUAAUUAAAUCCAUGCUUUUAUCUUCUUCAUCUUGUUGUUAGAUAGAUCUAAUCUCUAUCUAUAGAAAUUUGGAAAACUUUUCUCUUUCUUCCUCGGAUCAGAAAGAGAAAUGAGCUCUCUUCGAGCAGAUCCACCGACCUCCAAAAUUCACCCAGAAGCAGAAGCAACUGCUAGUUGUUUUUGUUCUUCUUCAAAAAUCGACCAUUUCGACCGCCUUCCGGACUCUCUUCUGUUAUUAGUUUUCAACAAAAUCGGCGAUGUCAAAGCUCUUGGUCGCUGCUGUGUUGUUUCUCGCCGCUUCCACUCUCUCGUCCCUCAGGUCGACAACGUUGUUGUCCGUGUAGACUGUGUCAUCUCCGAUGACGACACCCCCUCUUCUUCCUCCUCCAUCAAGUCACACUCUUCUUCUUCUUCUUCUGGCUUCUCCUCCAUCUUUCGUUUAGUCUUCGGUGGCAUUUCCAAACCCUUCCAAGCUCUGAGUCAGAUGUUUGGACCCAAGGUCAAUUCGCGAAAUGGAAAUGGGCCUUCCCUUUCUGUCGCCACCGAUGAUGAUAUGGAGCUGGAUCAAGCUGGUGUCACCCAUCAUUCUCCAACUCAGGUUCUUAAGAAUUUUAAUGAGAUUCGCUUUCUAAGAAUCGAGUUACCCAGUGGGGAAUUGGGAAUUGAUGAUGGGGUUCUUUUAAAAUGGAGGGCUGAUUUCGGAUCUACCCUUGAUAAUUGUGUUAUUCUUGGUGCUGCUUCCGUCAUUACCAAUAAUAAGAUUUCUUCUGCUAUGCAACAAGAAAAUGCCGCUGCCGCCGAUGAUGAUGAUAAUGGAAGCAUACCGGAGUCAUUUUACACCAAUGGGGGAUUGAAGUUGAGAGUUGUGUGGACUAUUAGCUCUUUAAUUGCUGCAUCUGCCAGGCAUUAUUUGCUUCAACCAAUUAUUGCUGAGCAUAAGACUCUCGAUAGUUUGGUGUUGGCUGAUGCUGAUGGGCAGGGUGUGUUGUGUAUGAAUAGGGAGCAAUUGGAAGAGUUGAGGGUCAAGCCGUUAUCGGCUUCUUCUGCUUCCAAGAGGACUCUUGUGCCUGCACUUAAUAUGCGCCUUUGGUAUGCUCCUCACUUGGAAUUGCCUGAUGGGGUUGUGUUGAAAGGUGCAACUUUGGUUGCUAUUAGGCCCAGUGAACAGGCUGCUACUAAGAAGGAUGUGUCUGAUGUCUCCUGGGUCUCUACCACGUUUGAGGAGCCUUAUGGUACAGCAGCUAAGAUGCUGGUGAAGAGAAGGACUUACUGCUUGGAGAUGAACUCAUUCUGAUUAGAAUAAUGGACCUGAGGAAAGUGGGAGAUUUGUUUUUCAAUGCAAGUCAGGGAUCUAGACUGUCACUACUGUGACCAUUAAAUUAAGGGGAGGCGCAAUGGUUUAAGGGAAGGGGGAUGUAAAUGAUAUUUCGAGCGAAGAAUCAGAAAACAAUUUUGCUUUAUGCUUUGGCCAUAGCCAGAUGCAGUGUCUUAUGGAGCUGAAUCUUUCUUUGGACCACCACCAGGAUCCCAUCCUCCGUUGAUGAUGCCCUGCAGUCUUUUUAACCUUUUGUGCAUGAACUGACAGCUAAAAUGCAUCUGCUGCUUGUUUUAAUUUCAGGCAUAUGCUUGUAAGGUUCACACAUGCAACUAGAUGAAUGUAGCAAGUGCUUUGAGUUUGUAGUGAUUUACUUUAAUUUAGAAUCUAUGUAUGUGAAUAUUGUAGGUAUGAAUAUGCUGCGUUUAUGCUACACUUUUUUCAUACAUUAAGCAAUGUGCUUUGGGUUAACCUUAAAAUGU